Molecule: ribosomal RNA, 445 nt
Filed under: uncultured bacterium
Lineage: Bacteria
Description: bacterial SSU rRNA
Rfam family: Bacterial small subunit ribosomal RNA
Source: RNAcentral
GUGCCAGCAGCCGCGGUAAUACGGAGGGUGCGAGCGUUAAUCGGAAUGACUGGGCGUAAAGGGCAUGUAGGCGGAUGAUUAAGUUAGGUGUGAAAGCCCCGGGCUCAACCUGGGAAUUGCAUUUAAAACUGGUCGUCUGGAGUAUUGUAGAGGAAGGUAGAAUUCCACGUGUAGCGGUGAAAUGCGUAGAGAUGUGGAGGAAUACCGGUGGCGAAGGCGGCCUUCUGGACAGAUACUGACGCUGAGAUGCGAAAGCGUGGGGAGCAAACAGGAUUAGAUACCCUGGUAGUCCACGCUGUAAACGAUGUCGAUUUGGAAUUUGCGGCCCUGAGCUGUGGGUUCCGAAGCUAACGCGAUAAAUCGACCGCCUGGGGAGUACGGCCGCAAGGUUAAAACUCAAAUGAAUUGACGGGGGCCCGCACAAGCGGUGGAGCAUGUGGUUUAA